RNAcentral lists this ribosomal RNA (348 nucleotides) under uncultured bacterium. Its description in RNAcentral is "bacterial SSU rRNA". It matches the Rfam family "Bacterial small subunit ribosomal RNA", at positions 556 to 904 of the family's 1533-position model. The record is from RNAcentral.
GGGCGUAAGCGUACGCAGGCGGUUUGUUAAGCUGAGAUGUGAAAGCCCCGGGCUCAACCUGGGAACUGCAUUUCGAACUGGCAAACUAGAGUGUGAUAGAGGGUGGUGGAAUUUCAGGUGUAGCGGUGAAAUGCGUAGAGAUCUGAAGGAAUACCGAUGGCGAAGGCAGCCACCUGGGUCAACACUGACGCUCAUGUACGAAAGCGUGGGGAGCAAACAGGAUUAGAUACCCUGGUAGUCCACGCCGUAAACGAUGUCUACUAGAAGCUCGGAGCUUCGGCUCUGUUUUUCAAAGCUAACGCAUUAAGUAGACCGCCUGGGGAGUACGGCCGCAAGGUUAAAACUCAA